RNAcentral lists this transfer RNA (75 nucleotides) under Gammaproteobacteria bacterium. RNAcentral describes it as "tRNA-Glu". It matches the Rfam family "tRNA". From Rfam's summary of the family: Transfer RNA (tRNA) molecules are approximately 80 nucleotides in length. Their secondary structure includes four short double-helical elements and three loops (D, anti-codon, and T loops). Lineage: Bacteria; Pseudomonadati; Pseudomonadota; Gammaproteobacteria. The record is from RNAcentral. RNAcentral also lists the same sequence under 2 other names.
GCUCCCUUCGUCUAGUGGUUAGGACGCCGGCCUCUCACGCCGGUAACAGGGGUUCGAACCCCCUAGGGAGCGCCA